RNAcentral lists this long non-coding RNA (1042 nucleotides) under Panax ginseng (ginseng). RNAcentral's name for it is "long non-coding RNA (PGIN_LNC005823)". The record is from RNAcentral. Lineage: Eukaryota; Viridiplantae; Streptophyta; Magnoliopsida; Apiales; Araliaceae.
CCUAACUCAGAAAUCAAUUGAAUAAGGAGACUUCUAUAUAUAUUGAAAUCUAAAAGCCCCUCAAUUGUAAAUAUAUACAAGCAUGAACAAUGCAUAUUUGCAGCUGAAAACCCAAUAAGCACAAUAUGUUCCUCUUAUAUCAUGAAGAAUUAGAAGUCGAUCACUCUUUAUGGUUAUUCCACCAAUUAUUCCAAACUGUUGAAUUUUGUUCUUCAAGAGUCAAUAAAUACAAGAGGAAUAAUUGAAGAAACCCAGAAAACAAAAUCAAUCCUUUCAAUAUAUAGAUGCAAUUUCCAUUGGUUUCCACAGAAUCUAUGAGAACCCAAAUGAAACAAAAAAAAACAAUGGGGGAAAGAUGAGGGGAACCAACAAUACUACUACUAAUAAAUUACUAGCAGCUGCUUCUCUAGCAAUAUUUCAUAUUUUAGAGAAACAACUUUAUUUGGGCAUUUAAUCGAACACCUAGCAUGCAUGCUUAAAAAAGACUUGGUUUUACAUACCUCUCCAUAUCCAAUUACCUCCUUAUAACACCUGAGCCCUUCAUGGUUCCAAUAUUUCAUCCUUCCACAACCAAUUUCAGUCACAAUUUAACAAUUAAAGUUCAUAAUUUCUUUGAAAUUUAAGAAAGUAUAUUACUUUUUUUUUGUUAGAGACUUGGUUGAAUUCUUUUUCUUUUUUUUGCCAUUCUUGAUUUCAUAUUCGGAAAGCUGAACGGACUUGUCAGGCUUCGAUGAUCGGACCACAAUUAGCUGUUCGAUUAGCUUGUCAAGAGCUGCAGGAUCCAAUUUUUUUCCCCCUGCUCUGUUUUUUUUCCCUUCUAAAUGUAACGCUUUUCUUGGUUUUCCAGAUCCUUAAAAUUGAACUUUGAAUAAAAGUCUAAUCUUCUUCAAAGACCAUGAAAUUCCAUUUCUAUUGAGAGCAAAGUGGUGGGAGUGAGGAGAGAAUAUAUUUGGCCAAAAAAUGUCUCUCCAGUGACUUCAGACUUUUUGCUCAUUUAAGCAAUUAAAAGGAACAAGUGCCCCUUUCUUAAUACCGAGCUGGU